UUUCUUUCAUUUAUCAAAUUGUUAUGCAUUAACGACUUUAAGUUUUUUCACAGGUGUUAAAAAUUUUACAAAGUAAAUUGUAAAAUAAGAACAAGUGCACAAGUGUGUGUGGUAGUGGAAAGGAAACCUUCUCUUUGCAGAGUUGGAGUCCUGUGUUCACUAAUGAUCCUUCCGCAGGUUCACCUACGAAAA
This 192-nucleotide unclassified non-coding RNA is filed under the name uncultured fungus. RNAcentral's name for it is "sequence contains ITS1". Lineage: Eukaryota; Fungi. The record is from RNAcentral.